This 469-nucleotide ribosomal RNA is filed under the name uncultured bacterium. RNAcentral's name for it is "bacterial SSU rRNA". It matches the Rfam family "Bacterial small subunit ribosomal RNA", at positions 29 to 507 of the family's 1533-position model. The record is from RNAcentral.
AGUGAACGCUGGCGGCGUGCUUAACACAUGCAAGUCAAACGAGAACGGAUUAUAGCUUGCUAUAAUUGUCAGCUAAGUGGCGCACGGGUGAGUAAUAUAUAGAUAACCUGCCCUCUAGAAAGGAAUAACAGUUGGAAACGACUGCUAAUGCCCUAUAUGCCUUUAAUACAUAAGUAUGCAAGGGAAACGCUUUAGUGCUAGAGGAUGGGUCUGUAUGGUAUCAGCUUGUUGGUGAGGUAAUGGCUCACCAAGGCUAUGACGCCUAACUGGUUUGAGAGGAUGAUCAGUCACACUGGAACUGAGACACGGUCCAGACUCCUACGGGAGGCAGCAGUGGGGAAUAUUGCACAAUGGACGAAAGUCUGAUGCAGCAACGCCGCGUGGAGGAUGACACAUUUCGGUGCGUAAACUCCUUUUAUAUAGGAAGAUAAUGACGGUACUAUAUGAAUAAGCACCGGCUAACUCCGUG